UACGAAGAGGGCUAGCGUUGUUCGGAAUUACUGGGCGUAAAGCGCACGUAGGCGGUUCGUUAUGUCGGAUGUGAAAGCCCUUGGCUUAACCGAGGAAGUGCAUCCGAAACUGGCGAGCUAGAGUACGAAAGAGGAUCGCGGAAUUCCCGGUGUAGAGGUGAAAUUCGUAGAUAUCGGGAGGAACACCGGUGGCGAAGGCGGCGAUCUGGGUCGAUACUGACGCUGAGGUGCGAAAGCGUGGGGAGCAAACAGG
This 253-nucleotide ribosomal RNA is filed under the name uncultured bacterium. Its description in RNAcentral is "partial 16S ribosomal RNA". It matches the Rfam family "Bacterial small subunit ribosomal RNA", at positions 524 to 776 of the family's 1533-position model. The record is from RNAcentral.